Carlito syrichta (Philippine tarsier) is the source of this 189-nucleotide long non-coding RNA. RefSeq lists it as uncharacterized. The record is from RefSeq and is a predicted model, not a curated record. The transcript is spliced from 4 exons. Lineage: Eukaryota; Metazoa; Chordata; Mammalia; Primates; Tarsiidae.
GGGGUAAAGGAUGAGAAAUUACUUAAUGGAUACCUUGACUAUGAAUAAUAGUUUCAAUAGGAAGACAAGAAUGGGUUCUGACAGGAAGGUUGGGAGCUGUGACAGGCAGAAGAAAAAUGAAGCCAAACAGCACAGAGAUGUCUUGAUGUUGUAAUAGUAACCAUAACACAGCCAACCAGGGCUUGUCUG